AUUGAACGCUGGCGGCAGGCUUAACACAUGCAAGUCGAACGGUAACAGAACUAGCUUGCUAGUUGCUGACGAGUGGCGGACGGGUGAGUAACGCGUAGGAAUCUACCGAGUAGUGGGGGACAACAGUUGGAAACGACUGCUAAUACCGCAUAAUCCCUGAGGGGGAAAGGAGGGGAUCUGUUUACAGACCUUUCGCUACUUGAUGAGCCUGCGUGAGAUUAGCUAGUUGGUGAGGUAAUGGCUCACCAAGG
Molecule: ribosomal RNA, 251 nt
Filed under: uncultured Gammaproteobacteria bacterium
Lineage: Bacteria; Pseudomonadati; Pseudomonadota; Gammaproteobacteria
Description: partial 16S ribosomal RNA
Rfam family: Bacterial small subunit ribosomal RNA
Source: RNAcentral